CUGUUAGGGGGAUGAUGUAUUACUACAGGGCUCUUAAAAUGCUUGCUUUUCUUGAUUCCGCAUCCGAAAUGGAUAUAAG
Rhododendron vialii is the source of this 79-nucleotide small nucleolar RNA. RefSeq annotates it as small nucleolar RNA J33. The record is from RefSeq and is a predicted model, not a curated record. The transcript has a single exon. Lineage: Eukaryota; Viridiplantae; Streptophyta; Magnoliopsida; Ericales; Ericaceae.